Molecule: transfer RNA, 69 nt
Filed under: Didemnum perlucidum
Lineage: Eukaryota; Metazoa; Chordata; Ascidiacea; Aplousobranchia; Didemnidae
Description: tRNA-Val
Source: RNAcentral
UAAAGUUAUUAUAAAAAAAUAAAUUUUAUUUACAAUAAAAAAAUAAUUUAUAUUGAAAUUACUUUAGUU